GAAAUGCGAUAAGUAAUGUGAAUUGCAGAAUUCAGUGAAUCAUCAAAUCUUUGAACGCACAUUGCGCUUCCUGGUACUCCGGGGAGCAUGCCCGUUUCAGCAUCAUUAAAACAUCACAAAGCGUGUAGGUUGUCUGUUCGCAGACAUCCUGGGCGCUUUGCGCGGAUGGGUCUUGGGCAACUUGUUUGUCCCGAGAUCUGAAUGUCAUGAUGUAGGUGCCGCAGCCAUCACAGGCUUCAGCUGGUUCCCUAAGCGCAGCAGAAUUCAUUCUACCUCGUUUUGGGACCGCUUCUAAUGAAGCUCUGGGCUGCAUUUGACGCACACACACCUUUCUACCCAAUGCGUUGAAAAACAACUCGUUCGGCUUUACGUCGAGCAAGAUUUUUCUUCUGACUUGGUC
RNAcentral lists this unclassified non-coding RNA (400 nucleotides) under uncultured fungus. RNAcentral describes it as "sequence contains ITS1". The stretch from base 1 to 105 matches the Rfam family "5.8S ribosomal RNA", at positions 50 to 154 of the family's 154-position model. Lineage: Eukaryota; Fungi. The record is from RNAcentral.